AAAAGUGAAGUUACAUAGUGCAAAUCGUCUACCGAUACAUGUGCGAUGUGAAGGAGUGUAAGUGUGAAUCAUAAUAGAACAGAAUAGUCAAGUGUCAUCGAUUGCAGAAUCCAGAACUCGAUCGUCCACUGGGAUAUUGAAUGUAAGCCACGUGUUUGAGAGCGGAGAACAAAAAUUGAGAAGGAAAUCGGAAGUGUCAAUAGAUGAAGGAAUCAAGAUGGAUAUCAUAUUUGAAAAUUUACAGUGGUCUUCAUGCCGUAAUCUCAAGGUACAAAAUCUGAUAAUUUCAACCAGAGGGGAGGAAUUGAAAUAUGAGUGAAAUUCAGCAAUAUUUACAAGAAGGAUAAGAGCAGCAAAGAUAUUCCAUUACAGAGGAAUUUUUCACGUAUAAAUAUAAAUUUGAACAUGAUAUUGUAACUCAC
This is a long non-coding RNA of Eufriesea mexicana, 422 nucleotides long. RefSeq lists it as uncharacterized. NCBI's taxonomy places the organism in Eukaryota, Metazoa, Arthropoda, Insecta, Hymenoptera, Apidae. The transcript is spliced from 3 exons. The record is from RefSeq and is a predicted model, not a curated record.